RNAcentral lists this ribosomal RNA (120 nucleotides) under uncultured bacterium. Its description in RNAcentral is "partial 16S ribosomal RNA". It matches the Rfam family "Bacterial small subunit ribosomal RNA", at positions 215 to 334 of the family's 1533-position model. The record is from RNAcentral.
ACGCUAUGGGGGCGGCCGAUGUCCGAUUAGCUGGUUGGUGGGGUAAUGGCCCACCAAGGCGACGAUCGGUAGCUGGUCUGAGAGGAUGAUCAGCCACACUGGGACUGAGACACGGCCCAG